UCCUCGUUAGUAUAGUGGACAGUAUCUCCGCCUGUCAUGAGGAAGACCGUGGUUCGAUUCCCCAACGGGGAG
Non-coding RNA from Danionella cerebrum, 72 nucleotides. The record is from the annotation of a GenBank genome assembly. NCBI's taxonomy places the organism in Eukaryota, Metazoa, Chordata, Actinopteri, Cypriniformes, Danionidae.